This 492-nucleotide ribosomal RNA is filed under the name uncultured bacterium. RNAcentral's name for it is "partial 16S ribosomal RNA". It matches the Rfam family "Bacterial small subunit ribosomal RNA", at positions 29 to 507 of the family's 1533-position model. The record is from RNAcentral.
AGUGAACGCUGGCGGUAGGCCUAACACAUGCAAGUCGAACGGCAGCACAGUAAGAGCUUGCUCUUACGGGUGGCGAGUGGCGGACGGGUGAGGAAUACAUCGGAAUCUACUUUUUCGUGGGGGAUAACGUAGGGAAACUUACGCUAAUACCGCAUACGACCUACGGGUGAAAGCAGGGGAUCUUCGGACCUUGCGCGAUUGAAUGAGCAGAUGUCGGAUUUGCUAGUUGGCGGGGUAAAGGCCCACCAAGGCGACGAUCCGUAGCUGGUCUGAGAGGAUGAUCAGCCACACUGGAACUGAGACACGGUCCAGACUCCUACGGGAGGCAGCAGUGGGGAAUAUUGGACAAUGGGAGCAAGCCUGAUCCAGCCAUACCGCGUGGGUGAAGAAGGCCUUCGGGUUUUAAAGCCCUUUUGUUGGGAAAGAAAAGCAGCAGGUUAAUACCCCGCUGUUCUGACGGUACCCAAAGAAUAAGCACCGGCUAACUUCGUG